RNAcentral lists this ribosomal RNA (155 nucleotides) under uncultured bacterium. RNAcentral's name for it is "partial 16S ribosomal RNA". It matches the Rfam family "Bacterial small subunit ribosomal RNA", at positions 356 to 507 of the family's 1533-position model. The record is from RNAcentral.
GGGGAAUUUGGGACAAUGGGCGCAAGCCUGAUCCAUGCCGCGUGCAUGAUGAAGGCCUUCGGGUUGUAAACUGCUUUUGUACGGAACGAAACGGUCCUUUCUAAUAUAAGGGGCUAAUGACGGUACCGUAAGAAUAAGCACCGGCUAACUACGUG